AGAGUUUGAUCAGUGGCUCAGGAUGAACGCUGGCGGCGUGCCUAACACAUGCAAGUCGAGCGAUUCUCUUCGGAGAAGAGCGGCGGACGGGUGAGUAACGCGUGGGUAACCUGCCCUGUACACACGGAUAACAUACCGAAAGGUAUGCUAAUACGAGAUAAUAUACUUUUAUCGCAUGGUAGAAGUAUCAAAGCUUUUGCGGUACAGGAUGGACCCGCGUCUGAUUAGCUAGUUGGUAAGGUAACGGCUUACCAAGGCGACGAUCAGUAGCCGACCUGAGAGGGUGAUCGGCCACAUUGGAACUGAGACACGGUCCAAACUCCUACGGGAGGCAGCAGUGGGGAAUAUUGCACAAUGGGCGAAAGCCUGAUGCAGCAACGCCGCGUGAGCGAUGAAGGCCUUCGGGUCGUAAAGCUCUGUCCUCAAGGAAGAUAAUGACGGUACUUGAGGAGGAAGCCCCGGCUAACUACGUG
This 473-nucleotide ribosomal RNA is filed under the name uncultured bacterium. RNAcentral describes it as "bacterial SSU rRNA". It matches the Rfam family "Bacterial small subunit ribosomal RNA", at positions 8 to 507 of the family's 1533-position model. The record is from RNAcentral.